UGGUUAGUUAAAUAAAUUAACUUUCCCCCAAGAUUUUUGAUUUGUUCAAAAAUGAACGUCCCUUUCUCUAAUCUACUAAUUUUCUGUGUAUGAUCACUUUCCCUUUUAGAAUUCUUGACCAUUAACUUGUCUCCAACAUUUAAUCUUGAAUUAACGCCCAACCAUAUUGAUACCCCUUUUGAGGAAUGUUUGCAGCUUUGAGUGAGAAACAGCUCAGUCACAGAACAAAAAGCUUCUUCUUCUUCUCCUUCUUCUUCUCAUAAUAAAUGGUUUCAUCUUUUGCCAUACCAAAAGCAAAAAAGCUACGUGGAAACGAGUUUUCACAAAGACUCUUCACGAUGAAGCCUCAGGGUUUUAC
Molecule: long non-coding RNA, 358 nt
Filed under: Vigna radiata
Lineage: Eukaryota; Viridiplantae; Streptophyta; Magnoliopsida; Fabales; Fabaceae
Description: long non-coding RNA (VRAD_LNC004430)
Source: RNAcentral